GAUGAACGCUGGCGGCGUGCCUAAUACAUGCAAGUCGAGCGAACCACUUCGGUGGUGAGCGGCGAACGGGUGAGUAACACGUAGGUGAUCUGCCCAUCAGACGGGGACAACGAUUGGAAACGAGCGCUAAUACCGGAUAGGACGAAAGUUUAAAGGUGCUUCUGGCACCGCUGAUGGAUGAGCCUGCGGCGCAUUAGCUAGUUGGUGGGGUAAAGGCCUACCAAGGCGACGAUGAGUAGCCGACCGGAGAGGGUGAACGGCCACACUGAGACUGAGACACGGCCCAGACGCCUACGGGAGGCGACAGUAGGGAAUCUUCGGCAAUUGGCGAAAGCCUGACCGAGCAACGCCGCGUGAAUGAUGAAGGCCUUCGGGUUGUAAAAUUCUGUUAUAAGGGAAGAACGACUUUAGUAGGAAAUGGCUAGAGUGUGACGGUACCUUAUGAGAAAGCCACGGCUAACUACGUGCCAGCCGCCGCCGUAA
This 483-nucleotide ribosomal RNA is filed under the name uncultured bacterium. RNAcentral describes it as "partial 16S ribosomal RNA". It matches the Rfam family "Bacterial small subunit ribosomal RNA", at positions 28 to 523 of the family's 1533-position model. The record is from RNAcentral.